This 1288-nucleotide ribosomal RNA is filed under the name metagenome. RNAcentral describes it as "bacterial SSU rRNA". It matches the Rfam family "Bacterial small subunit ribosomal RNA", at positions 209 to 1489 of the family's 1533-position model. The record is from RNAcentral.
GGCCUUGCGCUCUUUGAGCGGCCGAUGUCAGAUUAGCUAGUUGGUGAGGUAACGGCUUACCAAGGCGACGAUCUGUAGCGGGUCUGAGAGGAUGAUCCGCCACACUGGAACUGAGACACGGUCCAGACUCCUACGGGAGGCAGCAGUGGGGAAUUUUGGACAAUGGGGGCAACCCUGAUCCAGCCAUGCCGCGUGAGUGAAGAAGGCCUUCGGGUUGUAAAGCUUUUUCGGCCGGGAAGAAAUCGCAUGGGCCAAUACCCUGUGUGGAUGACGGUACCGGAAUAAGAAGCACCGGCUAACUACGUGCCAGCAGCCGCGGUAAUACGUAGGGUGCGGGCGUUAAUCGGAAUUACUGGGCGUAAAGCGUGCGCAGGCGGUUUUGUAAGACAGGCGUGAAAUCCCCGGGCUCAACCUGGGAACUGCGUUUGUGACUGCAAGGCUAGAGUACGGCAGAGGGGGGUGGAAUUCCACGUGUAGCAGUGAAACGCGUAGAGAUGUGGAGGAACACCAAUGGCGAAGGCAGCCCCCUGGGUCGAUACUGACGCUCAUGCACGAAAGCGUGGGUAGUAAACAGGAUUAGAUACCCUGGUAGUCCACGCCCUAAACUAUGUCAACUAGGUGUUGGGUGGGUAAAACCAUUUAGUACCGUAGCUAACGCGUGAAGUUGACCGCCUGGGGAGUACGGCCGCAAGGUUAAAACUCAAAGGAAUUGACGGGGACCCGCACAAGCGGUGGAUGAUGUGGAUUAAUUCGAUGCAACGCGAAAAACCUUACCUACCCUUGACAUGCCAGGAACUUGCCAGAGAUGGCUUGGUGCCCGAAAGGGACCUGGACACAGGUGCUGCAUGGCUGUCGUCAGCUCGUGUCGUGAGAUGUUGGGUUAAGUCCCGCAACGAGCGCAACCCUUGUCGUUGAUUGCCAUCAUUUAGUUGGGCACUUUAGCGAGACUGCCGGUGACAAACCGGAGGAAGGUGGGGAUGACGUCAAGUCCUCAUGGCCCUUAUGGGUAGGGCUUCACACGUCAUACAAUGGUCGGUACAAAGGGUCGCCAAGCCGCGAGGUGGAGCCAAUCCCAGAAAGCCGAUCGUAGUCCGGAUUGCAGGCUGCAACUCGCCUGCAUGAAGUCGGAAUCGCUAGUAAUCGUGGAUCAGCAUGUCACGGUGAAUACGUUCCCGGGUCUUGUACACACCGCCCGUCACACCAUGGGAGCGGGUUCCGCCAGAAGUAGGUAGCCUAACCGCAAGGAGGGCGCUUACCACGGCGGGGUUCGUGACUGGGGUGAAGUCGU